UUAAUACAUACACAUACAUAGUUGAGCUGGAAUGCAGUCGGUAGUAAACAGGCUCCGUUGCCAUCUAUUUGUUUUCGAUGACCGAGCUUUCAAAUCGACGAUCGAUACGGUUGAAUAUGAUCUAAUCUAUAAACCAAAUUUUAAAUCUUUUCGACAUCAUUGACCUGAUAAUCAAAAAUUUUUAAAAAUUAUAAUUUUAAUGAUAGAUACGAGACGUUUUCUUAUUUAAUGGUACAAAACUAUUCAAAUUAAUUAAAUUUUGAUUAAAAAAUUCUUUAAACUAUUUAAAAUAAAAUUUAUACUCUCGAUCUUAAUUACAAAAUUCCUAUCAUCACCUUUUAGAGGAUAUUCAUUUUCAGCCGUUCAUUUCUACGCCCACUUGAUGAACAAGAGAACAAUAUCAGAAAAGCAUAAAAUUUGAUUUCUAGAUACUUCAAGUGAUAUAGAUCAUAUUCAACGGUGCGGAUUAUCGAUUUGGAGGCUCCAUCAUUAAUAACAAAUGGGUGGCAACGGAGUCCGUUUGCUACCGAUAGUAUUCUAGCUCAACUCAUUAUAUAUUAUGUUAUAAAUAUAAAUUAUUAUAUAUUUUGUUAUAUGUAUAUAUAUAUAUAUAUAUAGAACUAGGCUACUAUGCUAUUAAUAGCACCAAGUCAUCGGUGCUACCAAGUUUUUGGCCAUUGGAUUAAGAGAUGUGCGGUUAGGAUGAUGUGGGCCCCCUAGGGUUGAGUGAGUGGUUGGUUUAAUAGUAUGAUCUAACGGGUGAAAAUGAUCAAA
This 774-nucleotide long non-coding RNA is filed under the name Ananas comosus (pineapple). RNAcentral's name for it is "long non-coding RNA (ACOM_LNC040667)". The record is from RNAcentral. Lineage: Eukaryota; Viridiplantae; Streptophyta; Magnoliopsida; Poales; Bromeliaceae.